Gopherus flavomarginatus (Mexican gopher tortoise) is the source of this 742-nucleotide long non-coding RNA. RefSeq lists it as uncharacterized. The transcript is spliced from 3 exons. Lineage: Eukaryota; Metazoa; Chordata; Testudines; Testudinidae. The record is from RefSeq and is a predicted model, not a curated record.
GUCACUCACAGCAUCGCGAGCCUGGCCGGUCCGCAAGGGGUGGGGAUCCCCCCUCCCCCCUCUGGCCCCGCUCCCCGCAACAGUCCCAGCGCAACCUCGUAUUGCGCACGGCCCGGGGAGCUCCGCUGCACGGCGGGGUAAUGGGCCGCCCCCUCCGGGGAAGGAUGGGGGGGGGGUCUCCUGCCCUGGCGCUGGGACAAGCGCGGCCCCCACAUCUCGCUCCCCCAGACAGGACUGGAAGCUUUUGAUCCGUCAUACAAACUAUUGACUCUUGAGCUAAUGGAGUAACUAACAGAAGUGGUAGACCGUCAUUCUCUACUUGAGCCAUCACUAGAGUUUCAUGGAUAUUUGCUGACAGCAGAGGAAUGUGAGACACUGGAAUACUGGGUUCAGUUCCAGGCUCUGGAGAGGAGCAUGCGCUACUGAGGUAGCUUCCUCCUCCACACUGUCUGAAAGUCCAUAAGGAAUAUGGAGAAAGAACUGAGAGCAUCGGAGAAACAGUCCAGCAAUUGUCAAUUCCUGUAUCCAUCUUAUAGCAGCCAGAAGCUGCUAUUUCAAAUAAAGUCCUAGUCAGUGGCUGCAACCCUGCGUUGGAGUAUGCUCAGUGCAGACAAACUGUUCUGAGAAUUUUAGCAGUAAAACUUCAAUAAGUCACUACUGAGCCUGUUCAAACAGAUUUUUAGAAGGUUUACAACUUGGCCAGAUCUCUGCUAGGAGUGCCAAGACACAUCCCUGAAACCAG